GACGAACGCUGGCGGCGUGCCUAAUACAUGCAAGUUGAACGCUAAAGCUUUAACUGGUGCUUGCACCGACUUAAGUUUUUAGAGUAGCGGACGGGUGAGUAACACGUGGGUAACCUGCCCAUCAGAGGGGGAUAACACUUGGAAACAGGUGCUAAUACCGCAUAAUUCCUUUUACCGCAUGGUAAAAGGAAUUAUGCGGUAUUAGCAC
Molecule: ribosomal RNA, 208 nt
Filed under: uncultured bacterium
Lineage: Bacteria
Description: partial 16S ribosomal RNA
Rfam family: Bacterial small subunit ribosomal RNA
Source: RNAcentral